This 335-nucleotide ribosomal RNA is filed under the name uncultured bacterium. Its description in RNAcentral is "bacterial SSU rRNA". It matches the Rfam family "Bacterial small subunit ribosomal RNA", at positions 1 to 334 of the family's 1533-position model. The record is from RNAcentral.
CUAGCGACUUCAGAGUUUGAUCCUGGCUCAGAGUGAACGCUGGCGGCAGGCCUAACACAUGCAAGUCGAGCGGCAGCGGGUCCUUCGGGAUGCCGGCGAGCGGCGGACGGGUGAGGAAUACAUCGGAAUCUGCCCUGUCGUGGGGGAUAACCUAGGGAAACUUAGGCUAAUACCGCAUACGACCCACGGGUGAAAGCGGGGGAUCGCAAGACCUCGCGCGAUAGGAUGAGCCGAUGUCCGAUUAGCUAGUUGGCGGGGUAAAGGCCCACCAAGGCGACGAUCGGUAGCUGGUCUGAGAGGAUGAUCAGCCACACUGGGACUGAGACACGGCCCAG